Molecule: long non-coding RNA, 872 nt
Filed under: Homo sapiens (human)
Lineage: Eukaryota; Metazoa; Chordata; Mammalia; Primates; Hominidae
Description: HSALNT0376134
Source: RNAcentral
AUGAGAUAACGCAAUGAAUAAAAUUGUUUUACCCCCAGAGAGAGCAUUAAAAAAUGUUCAACUGUCUACUGGAGGAAUAAUGGAGACUUUUUAAAUUAUAAGAAGGCAGCUUGAUCUUUUGACUCUCUGUCAUGAAAUAAAGUUUCAGAAAGGUGAUGAAAUUUAAGCUGGGCUUUAAAGGCUACAUCAAAUUUGACAAAUGGAAUUGUGAGGAAAGCACAUUAGAAGUAAAGAGUGAACCCACAAAAACAAGAGAACAUCAUGUUUCUAGAGGCUGCCUGCAUUCCUUGGCUAAUGACUUUGCAUCACUCUGACGUCUUGCUCCCAUGGUCGUAUCACCUACUACUGGCCCUGAUCUCACUACUUGUUAUAUGGAACAAAGGGAUAAGGAAGUGACUUGCCUAAGUCACUGAGGAACCUAAUAUUGAGAUUAGCACUCAAUGAUUCCUGGCUCUCAGAAUGUGUGCUGCUACCACCAGGCCACACUCUUCCCUCCAGAGAGAAGAUGUGUCAGCACGGAAUUGUGCUGAAGCAAAGAUGUGAAAUAGAAUGAUUACAUAUCUACCUAGUGGGAAGAUCUGGGGAAGAAUCUAUCAGUGCUGGCAGAGAAGCAAACCAUACGACAUCACUCAUCCCCAGAAAGUGAAGUUAAGGGAAAUAAAAAACAAUCUACACCAUUUAGAAAACACAGCCACCCCAUACCCUUGGAAAAAAUACACUAAAAUAUCUUCAUCUGAUUUGACCUCUAAUAACAUGAAUAAUUGUCUUAUAACUCACUUUCUUACCUCUUGAUUAUUCUACAGAUCCGGCACAUAUGAGCAAAAUCUGAUGAAAUUCACUCAUUUAAUUUGAAGAUUUUAAUUAUGUAGAAA